GCUAGCAUGGUGCAGUGGUUUGAAUGUUGGACUAUGAAUCUGGAGGUCAAGGGUUCGAUUCCCUGCUCAGUCA
Molecule: non-coding RNA, 73 nt
Organism: Phrynosoma platyrhinos (Desert horned lizard)
Lineage: Eukaryota; Metazoa; Chordata; Lepidosauria; Squamata; Phrynosomatidae
Source: the annotation of a GenBank genome assembly